Molecule: long non-coding RNA, 561 nt
Organism: Mizuhopecten yessoensis (Yesso scallop)
Lineage: Eukaryota; Metazoa; Mollusca; Bivalvia; Pectinida; Pectinidae
Exons: 4
Source: RefSeq, a predicted model, not a curated record
GUUGGAUGUUGUGGUCGGCUCGUUUGAUGGCGAGAGUAAAAAGUGAUUGCCAUCGGUACCGAUUCCGCUGGAACAAUCCAGUAAGAGAAAUGCAACAGCAAGACUGGGAUUCGAACCUGGGACCCUCCAAACUCUAGAUGGAUGUUCUACCAAUUGCAGUUGAGCUAGCAGGUUGUAGACGAGCGACCCAGUCCAGUUUCACUUCAUUCCUCUCUCGUUUUUCUGUCUUUGUCCGAAAGGCAUCACCAUGCAACAGCCAAACCAGGAUUCAAAUCGGGACCCUCCAAUCUCUAGACAGAAGCUCUACACAUUGAGCUCCCUACCUAGGGCUGGUUGCUAACGAUUGACCCAGUCCAGUUCCGCUUCAUGUGUAUAAUUGAUAUCAGAGCAAAGGUCCUCCCAUUGUCUGGCCCAGGACAAAACCGCCAGCACCCAGGUGGCCCACUGAACAGUUACCAAAGAUUACAGGUAAAAAGUCAAGAAACAAGUUUACUAUCCCCAUACCCUGACAACAGAACAAAUAGGGUCGAUACAGGCAUAUGGAACCAGCCCUGCCAUGAA